Molecule: ribosomal RNA, 497 nt
Filed under: uncultured bacterium
Lineage: Bacteria
Description: partial 16S ribosomal RNA
Rfam family: Bacterial small subunit ribosomal RNA
Source: RNAcentral
GAUGAACGCUGGCGGCGUGCCUAAUACAUGCAAGUCGAGCGAACAGACGAGGAGCUUGCUCCUCUGACGUUAGCGGCGGACGGGUGAGUAACACGUGGAUAACCUACCUCUAAGACUGGGAUAACUUCGGGAAACCGGAGCUAAUACCGGAUAAUAUCUUGAACCGCAUGGUUCAAUAGUGAAAGACGGUUUUGCUGUCACUUAUAGAUGGAUCCGCGCCGCAUUAGCUAGUUGGUAAGGUAACGGCUUACCAAGGCAACUAUGCGUAGCCGACCUGAGAGGGUGAUCGGCCACACUGGAACUGAGACACGGUCCAGACUCCUACGGGAGGCAGCAGUAGGGAAUCUUCCGCAAUGGGCGAAAGCCUGACGGAGCAACGCCGCGUGAGUGAUGAAGGUCUUCGGAUCGUAAAACUCUGUUAUUAGGGAAGAACAAAUGUGUAAGUAACUAUGCACGUCUUGACGGUACCUAAUCAGAAAGCCACGGCUAACUACGUG